RNAcentral lists this ribosomal RNA (427 nucleotides) under uncultured bacterium. RNAcentral describes it as "bacterial SSU rRNA". It matches the Rfam family "Bacterial small subunit ribosomal RNA", at positions 355 to 774 of the family's 1533-position model. The record is from RNAcentral.
UGGGGAAUUUUGGACAAUGGACGCAAGCCUGAUCCAGCAAUGCCGCGUGCAGGAUGAAGGCCUUCGGGUUGUAAACUGCUUUUGUACGGAGCGAAAAGGUCUGCCCUAAUACGGUGGGCUCAUGACGGUACCGUAAGAAUAAGCACCGGCUAACUACGUGCCAGCAGCCGCGGUAAUACGUAGGGUGCGAGCGUUAAUCGGAAUUACUGGGCGUAAAGCGUGCGCAGGCGGUUAUAUAAGACAGAUGUGAAAUCCCCGGGCUCAACCUGGGACCUGCAUUUGUGACUGUAUAGCUAGAGUACGGUAGAGGGGGAUGGAAUUCCGCGUGUAGCAGUGAAAUGCGUAGAUAUGCGGAGGAACACCGGUGGCGAAGGCAAUCCCCUGGACCUGUACUGACGCUCAUGCACGAAAGCGUGGGGAGCAAACA